CCUACGGGAUGCAGCAGUGGGGGAUAUUGCACAAUGGGGGGAACCCUGAUGCAGCGACGCCGCGUGUGGGAAGACGGUCCUCUGGAUUGUAAACCACUGUCCCCAGGGACGAAAAUGACGGUACCUGGGGAGGAAGCUCCGGCUAACUACGUGCCAGCAGCCGCGGUAAUACGGAGGGAGCGAGCGUUGUCGUGAAUUACUGGGUGUAAAGGGAGCGUAGGCGGGGAUGCAAGUUGGGUGUCAAAACUACCGGCUCAACUGGUAGUCGCACUCAAAACUGCAGCUAUUGAGUGAAGUAGAGGCUGGCGGAAUGCCUAGUGUAGCGGUGAAAUGCGUAGAGAUUAGGAGGAACACCAGUGGCGAAGGCGGCCUGCUGGGCUUUUACUGACGCUGAGGCUCGAAAGUGUGGGGAGCAAACAGGAUUAGAUACCCUUGUAGUC
Molecule: ribosomal RNA, 440 nt
Filed under: uncultured bacterium
Lineage: Bacteria
Description: partial 16S ribosomal RNA
Rfam family: Bacterial small subunit ribosomal RNA
Source: RNAcentral